GUGUAUAUUAUACAGUACUAGCUGUGUUACCCGUUCAACGCACGGGUAAUAGAGAUGAAUUUUAGCCAUGUCAUUGUAUAUUUCAUGUCACUUUAGUUAAGGUGUAGUAAGUUGCAUUGC
Molecule: long non-coding RNA, 120 nt
Organism: Thalassophryne amazonica
Lineage: Eukaryota; Metazoa; Chordata; Actinopteri; Batrachoidiformes; Batrachoididae
Exons: 3
Source: RefSeq, a predicted model, not a curated record